UGAGGUCUGGCUCAGUGGUAGAGCGCUUGCCUAGCGUGUGUGAGGCACUGGGUUCAAUUCUCAGCACCACAU
Molecule: transfer RNA, 72 nt
Filed under: Marmota monax (woodchuck)
Lineage: Eukaryota; Metazoa; Chordata; Mammalia; Rodentia; Sciuridae
Rfam family: tRNA
About the family: Transfer RNA (tRNA) molecules are approximately 80 nucleotides in length. Their secondary structure includes four short double-helical elements and three loops (D, anti-codon, and T loops).
Source: Rfam by way of RNAcentral